UGACGGUAGCUUACCAGAAAGGGACGGCUAACUACGUGCCAGCAGCCGCGGUAAUACGUAGGUCCCGAGCGUUGUCCGGAUUUAUUGGGCGUAAAGGGAGCGCAGGCGGUCAGGAAAGUCUGGAGUAAAAGGCUAUGGCUCAACCAUAGUGUGCUCUGGAAACUGUCUGACUUGAGUGCAGAAGGGGAGAGUGGAAUUCCAUGUGUAGCGGUGAAAUGCGUAAGAUAUAUGGAGGAACACCAGUGGCGAAAGCGGCUCUCUGGUCUGUCACUGACGCUGAGGCUCGAAAGCGUGGGUAGCGAACAGGAUUAGAUACCCUGGUAGUCCACGCCGUAAACGAUGAGUGCUAGGUGUUAGGCCCUUUCCGGGGCUUAGUGCCGGAGCUAACGCAAUAAGCACUCCGCCUGGGGAGUACGACCGCAAGGUUGAAACUCAAAGGAAUUGACGGGGGCCCGCACAAGCGGUGGAGCAUGUGGUUUAAUUC
RNAcentral lists this ribosomal RNA (484 nucleotides) under Streptococcus mutans. RNAcentral describes it as "bacterial SSU rRNA". It matches the Rfam family "Bacterial small subunit ribosomal RNA", at positions 470 to 952 of the family's 1533-position model. The record is from RNAcentral. Lineage: Bacteria; Bacillati; Bacillota; Bacilli; Lactobacillales; Streptococcaceae.